Molecule: ribosomal RNA, 460 nt
Filed under: uncultured bacterium
Lineage: Bacteria
Description: partial 16S ribosomal RNA
Rfam family: Bacterial small subunit ribosomal RNA
Source: RNAcentral
CCUACGGGAGGCAGCAGUGAGGAAUAUUGGUCAAUGGGCGCGAGCCUGAACCAGCCAAGUAGCGUGAAGGAUGACUGCCCUACGGGUUGUAAACUUCUUUUAUCAAGGAAUAAAGUGAGGCACGUGUGCCUUUUUGUAUGUACUUUAUGAAUAAGGAUCGGCUAACUCCGUGCCAGCAACCGCGGUAAUACGGAGGAUCCGAGCGUUAUCCGGAUUUAUUGGGUUUAAAGGGAGCGUAGAUGGGUUGUUAAGUCAGUUGUGAAAGUUUGCGGCUCAAACGUAAAAUUGCAAUUGAUACUGGCAGCCUUGAGUACAGGUGAGGUAGGCGGAAUGCGUGGUGUAGCGGUGAAAUGCUUAGAUAUCACGAAGAACUCCGAUUGCGAAGGCAGCUUACUAAACUGCCACUGACAUUGAUGCUCGAAAGUGUGGGUAUCAAACAGGAUUAGAUACCCGGGUAGUC